RNAcentral lists this small nuclear RNA (106 nucleotides) under Castor canadensis (American beaver). Lineage: Eukaryota; Metazoa; Chordata; Mammalia; Rodentia; Castoridae. The record is from RNAcentral.
GUGCUUUCUUUGGCAGCACAUACACUAAAAUUGGAAUGAUAGAGAGAAGAUUAGCAUGUCCCUGUGCAAGGAUGACAUACAAAUUCAUAAAGUGUUCCAUAUUUAA